This is a long non-coding RNA of Aphis gossypii (cotton aphid), 245 nucleotides long. RefSeq lists it as uncharacterized. The record is from RefSeq and is a predicted model, not a curated record. The transcript is spliced from 3 exons. Lineage: Eukaryota; Metazoa; Arthropoda; Insecta; Hemiptera; Aphididae.
CGUUUUCAUGCAAAUAACGCAUUUUCGGUCGUGCGCUAAUCGCCGAUUGUUAACUUGUAAAUUAAAAUUGAUGUGGCGCGAAUCGCCACAUUUCGAUUAUUAUAUUCGUUUAUAAAGGUGCGAAUCGCUGUAUACAUUUAUUAUUAUAUUCUUUUACAAGGGUGCGAAUCGCUGUAUACAUUUAUUAUUAUAUUCUUUUACAAGGGUGCGAAUCGCUGUAUACAUUUAUUAUUAUAUUCUUUACA